UACAGAGGGUGCAAGCGUUAAUCGGAAUUAUUGGGCGUAAAGGGCUUGUAGGCGGUUUAUUAAGUUAGGUGUGAAAACCCUGGGCUCAACCUGGGGCUGGCAUCUAAUACUGGUAAGCUAGAGUAUAGGAGAGGAGAAGGGAAUUUCUGGUGUAGCGGUGAAAUGCGCAGAUAUCAGGAAGAACACCAAUGGCGAAGGCAGCUCUCUGGGACGGUACUGACGCUGAGACGCGAAAGCGUGGGGAGCGAACAGG
RNAcentral lists this ribosomal RNA (253 nucleotides) under uncultured bacterium. RNAcentral's name for it is "partial 16S ribosomal RNA". It matches the Rfam family "Bacterial small subunit ribosomal RNA", at positions 524 to 776 of the family's 1533-position model. The record is from RNAcentral.